Molecule: long non-coding RNA, 939 nt
Organism: Aedes aegypti (yellow fever mosquito)
Lineage: Eukaryota; Metazoa; Arthropoda; Insecta; Diptera; Culicidae
Exons: 2
Source: RefSeq, a predicted model, not a curated record
UUCCAUCAUAUCAUGUUAACCAGCUACUUGAUAUUCAACAGCCUGCUUUACAUUUUCACCGACACGUACCGAACUGAUAAGGCGCGUGGGCCCCAGGUGUCAUACCGGAAGAUUGAAUUUCCAUUGUUAAUGCGCCUACCGUUCGUAAAACCGUUUCCAAGACUUUAGUGCCUUUUGUCUGUGAUGAUUUGUUGGAAACUGGGUGAAUAAAAGGGAAGGCAUAUUCAGUUUGUUUAUCAGUGUGGAGCUAGAUCAUAUAAUUUCACUAUGAGAACAACUUGGAUGCUGCUGCUGCUGGGUCAACUGGCCUUGGGGCAGCAAAACAGUAAUUUCUGUUUGAAAGGAUUCGAAAAAGUGCUCGAGUAUGACAAGUGCGAUUACUAUGCAUUCGGACCUCUUUUUAUGAGCUCCUAUUGUAACUGGCAGCAUCAGCUUGAGUACGGCAUUACCAAAACAUUUUGUUGCGGUGGGAUUUGUGCUUACUGUUUCGAGCAGAUCGAUAACAUCGAUAGUGACAGUAGCGAUAACUCCGAAAGUGCAGAUAUAAACUUAACAACAGUGCUUCCAGAUGAUUACGGAAGAAGCUUCGAUGUAUCGAGAGAACAAUUCAAAUUUGAAGAAAUUAUGACCACAAGGCUCAAACGUAUGAUGAACAAGUUUUUCCACAAAAACAAUACUAUUGAACAUUAAUUACUUCACACAAUAACAAAAACAUAGAGAGAAAUAUUGUUCAAAAAUGACGUACUAGAGAGUUUGAAUAUAAAAAUUCAAAAAUUGUAUGAUUAUGACGUAAUGGGAAUUAAAAACUGUAAAUAAAUAAAGUCGUUAUAUUCUAAUCAUCUGUAUUUUUCUUUGCGUCUAAGCAUAGUUUAGUUUAUAAAAGAAUACGAUGUGUAACAUUUGUCUUAAAAAUGAAUAAACCAUAUUAAUAACCAAAAA